This is a non-coding RNA of Schizosaccharomyces pombe (fission yeast), 1252 nucleotides long. The record is from the annotation of a GenBank genome assembly. Lineage: Eukaryota; Fungi; Ascomycota; Schizosaccharomycetes; Schizosaccharomycetales; Schizosaccharomycetaceae.
GCAUAUCACAGGUUAAUAUUAUCAUUUACUCCACAUAACCUUCCAACUGUUUUUCGUUAGUAUUUUAAAAUUAAGAAAAAGUAAUCCCUUACGUUGAUUGAUAAUGUUCGUGAAGAAUUCUCCUGUUGAUCUCUAUAAAUACCCACUAAAGCUUCUGAUUUACUGAACAACUGAUUUUUCAAGGAAAUGACAACAAAUUGAAAACCGCUGGAUGCAUGCUGUCUAAUAUAGUUGGCAAUCUUGGUAACGUUGGUUUGAUCCAAAGCUGCAUCAAUUUCAUCCAAUACAAAAAAUGGGGAUGGCUGAUAAGAGUGGAUAGCAAAUAGCAGAGCCAAAGCAGCCAUGGUCUUUUCUCCUCCAGAAAGUUGAUCCAUAUCUCUAAAUCUCUUCAUAGGUGGCAUUGCAUGGAACUUGAUUCCUCCAAGAUAUGGCUCAUCGAGGUCAUCCAAAGUCAAAUACGCUGUUCCACCAAGAGGAAAAGCAGGACUUUUGGUAAGUUCCUUAUAUAUUGGAUCGAUUUGUUCCGAGAUAUGCGAAAAGGCAGCUUGAAAUUUUUGCAAUCUCUUUUGCUUAACGGCAUUGAAGCGUUCUUUUGCGUUUUUGGCUGCUUUACGAGCAGCAGCAAAUUCUUCAUCUAACUUCGCCAAGCGAGUUUCUACUGUUUCAAGUCUCUCAAUAGCCCUUAAAUUAGGAGACAUCUGAUCCAGCUCUUCCGAAUACUCUCUCAAUUUUUCUUGAAGAACAGAAGCCAUACUCUCAGAACCGUCAUUGCGUAACUCUUCAUCCAGUUCAUCGUAAUCCACUUCUACUCCAAAUUUCUCAAAAUUUAUUACUGGUUCAGACGGCUCUUCGCCCAUGGUGAUAUCACCGCUGUUUGAGACAUCAUCUAUAGGUAUGCUCGUCAAAGAUCCUUCGCGUAACGGAACAUCUAUAUCUUCUAGUUUGCAUUUUCGUAAAAUUGCGUGCCAUUCAGAUACAUAGCGGUCAAUCUCCGAUUCUAAAAGAGUAAUGUUUCCUGAUAACUUUGUUAACUCAGACACUAAUCGUUUGCCCACUAGCUUUUUCUCGGAUGCAGCUAAUAAAAUUUUUUCAGUUUUAGAGUUCUCACUUGCAAAAUCCUCCUUUAAUAAUUCAAGCUCAGCCUCGGCAGUUGCAACUUCUGAUUCAAGUGCUUCCCGAUUUUGCUCGUAAUUAUCAAUAGAUUCCUGAUCUUUUUCAAUGAAUUUAUGCAUACGCUCUAAUCGUAACCUGG